GGCUUUGUGGCGGAAUGGUAGACGCUGAGGACUUAAAAUCCUUUCCUCAUUGCGAGGGUGUGGGUUCGAGUCCCACCAAAGCCACCA
RNAcentral lists this transfer RNA (87 nucleotides) under Rickettsiales bacterium. RNAcentral's name for it is "tRNA-Leu". It matches the Rfam family "tRNA". From Rfam's summary of the family: Transfer RNA (tRNA) molecules are approximately 80 nucleotides in length. Their secondary structure includes four short double-helical elements and three loops (D, anti-codon, and T loops). Further hydrogen bonds mediate the characteristic L-shaped molecular structure. tRNAs have two regions of fundamental functional importance: the anti-codon, which is responsible for specific mRNA codon recognition, and the 3' end, to which the tRNAs corresponding amino acid is attached (by aminoacyl-tRNA synthetases). tRNAs cope with the degeneracy of the genetic code in two manners: having more than one tRNA (with a specific anti-codon) for a particular amino acid; and 'wobble' base-pairing, i.e. permitting non-standard base-pairing at the 3rd anti-codon position. Lineage: Bacteria; Pseudomonadati; Pseudomonadota; Alphaproteobacteria; Rickettsiales. The record is from RNAcentral.